UGUAUUGUUGUUCAAAAACUGAACAAAAUUGACGGAAAAAAUUGGCGGCAGUGGUGGUAUCUGUCAUUUUACCGGAAAUUUCGCCCGCCACCUUCGCCGAAAGACGCAUUUUUAAGCCGCCAGGGCAAGAUAUUUACUUUGUUUUAGAGUGUUGUCGGUGAUUUUUUGUUAAUAAAUACUCUAAUUAUUAUGGCUCCAAGGACAGCGAAGGGAAAGAAAGCUGCAGAUGUGAAAUUAGCUGAAAAUGAAGUACCCAAAAAGGGCAGAGGGAAGGCAAAAGCAGCUGAAGAGCCUGAGCCAGAUAAUGAUACAGAAGACAGUGAAAUGGUAAUUGUUGAAAAACAAAGCGCGGUAAGAAAGUUGCAAAUGAUGUGAAUGAACAAGAGCAAAAUGGUAAAAAGGAAGACGCUGCUCCUCCUGCCAAAAAAGGCAGAAAGAAAAAUGAGUCAGUACCUGAAGAAAAAUCUAAUGAUGAUCAGUCAGCUGAAGAAGAAUCUGUAGCCACAGAAGAAACUGAACAAAAUGAUGAUUCGAAUCAAAUGGUCAUGUAGAAGAGGCACAAGCACCUUCUGGUAGGGGUCGCAAAAAGCAAGCAAA
This is a long non-coding RNA of Manduca sexta (tobacco hornworm), 597 nucleotides long. RefSeq lists it as uncharacterized. The record is from RefSeq and is a predicted model, not a curated record. Lineage: Eukaryota; Metazoa; Arthropoda; Insecta; Lepidoptera; Sphingidae. The transcript has 2 exons.